AUUGAACGCUGGCGGCAGGCCUAACACAUGCAAGUCGAGCGAGCGGCGGACGGGUGAGUAAUGUAUGGGAAUCUGCCCGAUAGAGGGGGAUAACUACUGGAAACGGUAGCUAAUACCGCAUACUAUCGGAUGUACCCAGAUGGGAUUAGCUAGUAGGUGGGGUAACGGCUCACCUAGGCGACGAUCACUAGCUGGUCUGAGAGGAUGAAAAGCCACACUGGAACGGAGACACGGUCCAGACUCCUACGGGAGGCAGCAGUGGGGAAUAUUGCACAAUGGGCGCAAGCCUGAUGCAGCCAUGCCGCGUGUAUGAAGAAGGCCUUCGGGUUGUAAAGUACUUUCAGCGGGGAGGCGUUACCCGCAGAAGAAGCACCGGCUAACUCCGUGCCAGCCGCCGCGGUAAUUC
RNAcentral lists this ribosomal RNA (406 nucleotides) under uncultured bacterium. RNAcentral's name for it is "partial 16S ribosomal RNA". It matches the Rfam family "Bacterial small subunit ribosomal RNA", at positions 30 to 526 of the family's 1533-position model. The record is from RNAcentral.